AGAGUUUGAUCCUGGCUCAGGAUGAACGCUGGCGGCGUGCCUAAUACAUGCAAGUCGAGCGAACGGACGAGAAGCUUGCUUCUCUGAUGUUAGCGGCGGACGGGUGAGUAACACGUGGAUAACCUACCCAUAAGACUGGGAUAACUUCGGGAAACCGGAGCUAAUACCGGAUAAUAUUUUGAACCGCAUGGUUCAAAAGUGAAAGACGGUCUUGCUGUCACUUAUAGAUGGAUCCGCGCUGCAUUAGCUAGUUGGUAAGGUAACGGCUUACCAAGGCAACGAUGCAUAGCCGACCUGAGAGGGUGAUCGGCCACACUGGAACUGAGACACGGUCCAGACUCCUACGGGAGGCAGCAGUAGGGAAUCUUCCGCAAUGGGCGAAAGCCUGACGGAGCAACGCCGCGUGAGUGAUGAAGGUCUUCGGAUCGUAAAACUCUGUUAUUAGGGAAGAACAUAUGUGUAAGUAACUGUGCACAUCUUGACGGUACCUAAUCAGAAAGCCACGGCUAACUACGUGCCAGCAGCCGCGGUAAUACGUAGGUGGCAAGCGUUAUCCGGAAUUAUUGGGCGUAAAGCGCGCGUAGGCGGUUUUUUAAGUCUGAUGUGAAAGCCCACGGCUCAACCGUGGAGGGUCAUUGGAAACUGGAAAACUUGAGUGCAGAAGAGGAAAGUGGAAUUCCAUGUGUAGCGGUGAAAUGCGCAGAGAUAUGGAGGAACACCAGUGGCGAAGGCGACUUUCUGGUCUGUAACUGACGCUGAUGUGCGAAAGCGUGGGGAUCAAACAGGAUUAGAUACCCUGGUAGUCCACGCCGUAAACGAUGAGUGCUAAGUGUUAGGGGGUUUCCGCCCCUUAGUGCUGCAGCUAACGCAUUAAGCACUCCGCCUGGGGAGUACGACCGCAAGGUUGAAACUCAAAGGAAUUGACGGGGACCCGCACAAGCGGUGGAGCAUGUGGUUUAAUUCGAAGCAACGCGAAGAACCUUACCAAAUCUUGACAUCCUUUGACAACUCUAGAGAUAGAGCCUUCCCCUUCGGGGGACAAAGUGACAGGUGGUGCAUGGUUGUCGUCAGCUCGUGUCGUGAGAUGUUGGGUUAAGUCCCGCAACGAGCGCAACCCUUAAGCUUAGUUGCCAUCAUUAAGUUGGGCACUCUAAGUUGACUGCCGGUGACAAACCGGAGGAAGGUGGGGAUGACGUCAAAUCAUCAUGCCCCUUAUGAUUUGGGCUACACACGUGCUACAAUGGACAAUACAAAGGGCAGCGAAACCGCGAGGUCAAGCAAAUCCCAUAAAGUUGUUCUCAGUUCGGAUUGUAGUCUGCAACUCGACUACAUGAAGCUGGAAUCGCUAGUAAUCGUAGAUCAGCAUGCUACGGUGAAUACGUUCCCGGGUCUUGUACACACCGCCCGUCACACCACGAGAGUUUGUAACACCCGAAGCCGGUGGAGUAACCUUUUAGGAGCUAGCCGUCGAAGGUGGGACAAAUGAUUGGGGUGAAGUCGUAACAAGGUAGCCGUAUCGGAAGGUGCGGCUGGAUCACCU
RNAcentral lists this ribosomal RNA (1540 nucleotides) under Staphylococcus aureus W75119. RNAcentral's name for it is "16S ribosomal RNA". It matches the Rfam family "Bacterial small subunit ribosomal RNA". Lineage: Bacteria; Bacillati; Bacillota; Bacilli; Caryophanales; Staphylococcaceae. The record is from RNAcentral.